RNAcentral lists this long non-coding RNA (4916 nucleotides) under Arabidopsis lyrata. RNAcentral's name for it is "long non-coding RNA (ALYR_LNC002860)". Lineage: Eukaryota; Viridiplantae; Streptophyta; Magnoliopsida; Brassicales; Brassicaceae. The record is from RNAcentral.
UCGAGAGGAAACCUUCGUCCAGACAUCUUUAGCAGUAAACAUCGAGUUCAAUUCCAACAUCUGGGCCUGCAAUGAGUUUUCCAAGUUUUGGAAAGUCAAUGAAACCUCAUCGGCUAGCGAGGAGCCUCUCAUUCUCAUUGGUGGUACCCCUCAGAAACCAAAUAGCUGGUUUAAGAUUGAGAUUGCCGGAGAAGGAGCAGAAGCAAACACUUACAAGUUGACCACCUCAACCGGAACCGUUGGAACUAAGCCAGGGGUUUGGUUUGGUGCACCACAAUUGGUUGUCCCCAAUGAUGCGGCUAAGCCCUUACUCAUCAAAUUCAAAAAGGUGGAAGAUGUCACUACGGCGACUACUUCUACUACUCGGGUUGAGAAGUUAGGUCUAAGGAUGUUCCCAUUCUAAUAGCCAACUGGUAAAAAUCAUGUAAUAUAAUUAAUGCCUGAGACUCGUUCAUGGCCAAAAAUAACGGGUUGAGAUAAUACCCGCUUGCAUGUUCCUAUUUUCCAUAAAUAUAAUUUAAGUAUAUGUUUUAUUAAGACUAUGAAACGGGAUUGUCAAUGAGCCUGCUAAGUGCUAACAAUAAAAAGAAUAUGACAACUUUAAGUAUUGGAGAUGGUUUGAUCCGGUUAAUUCUGGUUAACUUGGUAUUGGUUUAAUGUCGAUUAUUAAGUUGUAUAUAUAAGCUUAAGAUUACAGUUUCAUUUUUAAUAAGUUUUGUAACAAACUCUGUUUUUUGACUGUUGAAUAAAGAUUCUCUUUGACUCCGAUUCUUCUUUGCUCGUGUUCAUCUUCUCCGAUUCACCGGAGUUAAUAUGGUAUCAGAGCCUAGAUUAUAAGCACAUAUGUAUGAAUUGAAAAGAGGAGUAAGCUUAUCAUAUGAAAUAGUAGUGGUAAUAGGAUGUGGAGUGGUUCUUUUAAGUGGUAUGGAAGAAGUAGAAGAUCUGUGACAAGAUUCUGUGUUUAUCUUGGUAAUUCACUGAUUUCUUGGAAAUCAAAGAAACAGAAUGUGGUUAGUAGAAGCAGUACUGAAGCAGAGUACAGGAGUCUUGCACAGGCUACUUGUGAGCUUAUUUGGUUGCAGCAAUUAUUGAAGGACUUACAUAUCUCGGUUACUUGUCCUGCAAAGUUAUUCUGCGACAACAAAUCGGCUCUUCAUUUGGCAAUGAAUCCAGUGUUCCAUGAGCGUACCAAACAUAUAGAGAUCGAUUGUCAUACAGUGAGGGAUCAAAUUAAAGCUGGAAAACUGAAGACAUUACAUGUUCCUACUGGCAAUCAACUUGCAGAUAUUCUAACCAAGCCUCUUCAUCCAGGACCAUUCCAUGGUUUGAUCAAGAAAAUGUCUCUGUCAAGUCUAUAUCUUCCAAACCAGACACUUAGAAGAUAAAGACUUGAGGGGGGUGUAUUGGAGAUGGUUUGAUCCGGUUAAUUCUGGUUAACUUGGUAUUGGUUUAAUGUCGAUUAUUAAGUUGUAUAUAUAAGCUUAAGAUUACAGUUUCAUUUUUAACAAGUUUUGUAACAAACUCUGUUUUUUGACUGUUGAAUAAAGAUUCUCUUUGACUCCGAUUCUUCUUUGCUCGUGUUCAUCUUCUCCGAUUCACCGGAGUUAAUAUUAAGAAAAUUAACUAAGAUAUAAAUUUCAUCAGAAUGAAUAUAUCUAUCAAAUAACAUUUAUCACAAGUAACGUACAAGUAUGAAUGUAUGAUGAGUUGACUGACUAAUAUUUAUGUUCUCCCUAUGAAAAGAUAGUGAAUUUGUAAUAAUAAUCCAAGAAAACGCUGCCAUUAUUUUUACAUUCAGCCAAUAAAGCAUAUAUCCCUUUUAUAAAAAAAAAACAAAAAAACAACGUAGAAGGUUGAUUUACAAAGUACGUCUCUCUCUCUCUCUCUCUCUCUCUCUCUCUCUCUCGUAAUUAUUUUUCUGUAUAUUUCAUACAUUACUGUUUAUUACAAUAUUAAUUCUGAUAUAUCUCAUUCUGGUCCUUAAUUAGCGUCUCCCAAAAUCAAUUUUUUGUUGAGAGAGAAAGAGAAAUUGAACUUUACCAUGGUUUCUUUACGUACAAGAUGCUGCGGUGAUGAGUUUGAUAACCAUGGAUAAUAUGAUAGGACGACUGGGACCUUUUUUUUAUUGGAAGGUUAUUACUUUUGAAUUAGUCCUCCAAUUCGAUUACAAACGGAGUUGCUUUGUUGUUAAUUAAUUACAGUCAUAGUUUAUGUUUACGUAGAAAUUAAACCCUAAACAAGAGUCUAUCGCUGCAGCUGCUAAGUAAAGCAUAUCUGUAUUAACUAUAUAUAUAGGGGACAUGUGUCUUGACUCUUGAUAUUGUAUUAAGUAUAAGUUAAAUUAAUUUAUGCAGAUUGUUCUGUAAAACAAGUUUUACGCUCUUAUUUUCUUCCACUUCUUGAUUCUUGUCACUUUCUGGUUAUAAAAAGGGAUAACUAAUUUUUUUCAGAUUUACUUUAUUUUGAAUUGCCGUUAGUCAUACAUUUAUUUUCUUGUGAUAACGUGGUGGAACCAUAUAUGGUUCAUGUUUUAAUUAAAUUGCUUGAAAUGAAUAAGAAAGAAAAGUACAGACAGAUAUAUACAGAGAUUGUUAAGAAUCAUUCGCACGUUGGUUCGAUCCCUAUCUCUCUGUUUGAAAUCUUGUCUUUUACCCAAUUUGAUAUUCCUUUCAUAUAUUAGUUAACAUAUUAUAUAUGGACUAUGGUGCAUGUUCCUUGUGCUGAAAAUCGAAGUUUGAAUCAUAACCAUAGAGUCUAAAUCGUAGUAGAAAGUUAGUUAACCAAGGAUCAGAUUGUGACGUGAGGAAAAAGCCAAUAAGCAUUUAUAAUGAUAAAUUUUGAGGUUCCUAUAAAUACCGAUACAGUAUGUGUUAUUUCUCCACAACUCAAGUCACUCAAACACACACAAAAAAAAAAAAACAAUCACAAUGAAGAAUCCUUCAGUAGUCUCUUUUCUGAUCACUCUCUUGUUUGCUGCAGCUGUCUGCAUCCAAGGAAGCGAAUCUGUGAAGGACACCGCCGGAAAUUAUCUUGAACCGAGUCAACAAGUCAAAAUCAUGUAAUUAGUAAAGCUUGAGACUCCUCCAUGGCCAAAAACAUGGGUUGAUAUAAUACCCGAACGCAUAUGUUCUUAUCUUCCAUAAAGUAAAAUCUUUAACGAAGAAAAAAAAAAGUCCUUCCAUAAAUACUAUAUAGUUAUGAGCCUGCUAACAAGAAAAAAAGAAUACAAAUUUAAAAAAAGAAUAAAUCAUAAAAGAAUGGAGGGGAUGAGAUUUUGUGAUGAAAAGAAUUAUAUUAACUCCUAUAGAAAUAGAGGUAUUGGUUACAUAGUUUAAUCGUAAGACGUACAUUUUCUAUCCUUAAUGAAUCGUAAAACAUUUUCUAUCCAGAUCUUUCUCUUCAAGCGUGUCCUUGUCCUCGAUCCUAAUUGCGACAAGUAUUCACCGAGCGGGAGCCUUUAUCCUUCGAUUAUCUUCCCGUGUGGGUUUAAUGUCCCCUGCUUUAGAGUUAUGUGGUCAGUGUGUUGUGACUUUUGUGCCUGCUAACUACUUUUCUUUUUCUAAUAAAAUGAAAUUGAGAAAGAAAAAAAAUGAAUCGUAAGACAUUUUUAUCGUUAAUACUAACGGAAAUGUAUCAAGGGUUUGUAAUUGGUUACAAAAAAUUGCUAGGAAAGCUUUGAAUCUUUUGAAGAUUGAGUUCAAAAGUCUGUACGUGUUAAUUAAUUAGGAUAUAGUCUUGUAGAUUAUGCAGAGUGUUAUACUAAAACUGAAUUUCCAUUUUAGGGAGUUUCUUUAGUAUUGAACUAUUGUCACUUAUUUCUUUUCUUGUAACAAAAAAAUCGUUGUGGAAAUCAUUUUGGUUCGUGUUUCAGUAACUUGUUUUAAAUUAACAAAAUUGUGGCCAGAAAGAAACAGAGAUGUUGAAAAUCAUUCAUACGUAUAAUUCACUCAUCCCUAUCUCUCUGUUUGAAAUGUUGUCUUCUUCCCUUGAAUUAUUUGAUCGUCUUUUUUUUUUUUUUGCUAUAUAUAUAUAUAUAUAUAUGUUAGUUAACAUGGACAUUGUGCCUGUUCCUCGUGCUAACAAAUCCAAGUUUGAAUCGAUUACCAUAGAGUCUAAAGUCUAACCCCUCUUUUCAACCCUCACUGUUGUAGAAAGUUAGAAAUCAAGGACCCAUCACGAGAAUGAUUAGAAUGUGACGUGCGGAAAAAGCCAAACAUUUAUAGCUGACAAAUUUAAGGUAUUAGGUUUUACUCAACGAAGAUGGGAAUUCGUUUGUCCUCUUUUUACUAUCAUGUCCGGUUUUAACCACAGAGGACUCCUAUAAAUACCGAUACGAAAUGUGUUUGCUCUCCACACCUCAACUCACUCAAACCCUAAGAAAACACAAAACAAUCACAAUGAAAAAACCUUCAGUGGUCUCUUUUCUCAUCACUCUCCUGUUGGCUGCAGCUGUCUGCAUCCACGGAGGCGAACCGGUGAAGGACAUUGUCGGAAAUUAUCUUAAAACCGAUCAACAAUACUUCAUCCAGCCGGCAAAUACCGACGGAGGUGGUCUUGUCCCAGCCCCCCCUACAAUAUUUCCUCUUUGCCCACUUGGCAUCGUCCAAACUCUCCAUCCGUAUCAACCUGGCGUACCGCCGGUUAGCUUUUCAAUGCCAUACGCGAACAUGGAAACUACUGUUUCUACAGAUGAUUAUGUAAAUAUCGAGUUCAAGUCCAACAUCUGGGCCUGCAAUAAGUUUUCCAAGUUUUGGAAAGUCAAUGAAACCUCAUCGGCUAGCGAGGAGCCUCUCAUUCUCGUUGGUGGUACACCGCAGGAACCAAAUAGCUGGUUUAAGAUUGACAUUGCCGGAGAAGGAGCGGGAGCAAACAGUUACAAGUUGACUAUAUUUAUAAUAUAUAUGGUUCAGUGAAUU